UUUUCUCAAUGGGGGAAACCCUGAAGGAGCGACGCCGCGUGGAGGAUGAAGGUCUUCGGAUUGUAAACUCCUGUCAUUGGGGAACAAGGUGCAUACGUUAACUGCGUGUGCAUUGAUAGUACCCGAAGAGGAAGAGACGGCUAACUCUGUG
This 151-nucleotide ribosomal RNA is filed under the name uncultured bacterium. Its description in RNAcentral is "partial 16S ribosomal RNA". It matches the Rfam family "Bacterial small subunit ribosomal RNA", at positions 363 to 507 of the family's 1533-position model. The record is from RNAcentral.